Danionella cerebrum is the source of this 82-nucleotide non-coding RNA. NCBI's taxonomy places the organism in Eukaryota, Metazoa, Chordata, Actinopteri, Cypriniformes, Danionidae. The record is from the annotation of a GenBank genome assembly.
GAUGUUGUGGCACAGUGGUUAAGGCGACGGACCAGAAAACCAUUGUGGUCUCCCUGCACAGAUUUGAAUCCUGCCAACAAUA